RNAcentral lists this ribosomal RNA (1276 nucleotides) under Staphylococcus aureus. RNAcentral's name for it is "partial 23S ribosomal RNA". It matches the Rfam family "Bacterial large subunit ribosomal RNA", at positions 827 to 2103 of the family's 2925-position model. Lineage: Bacteria; Bacillati; Bacillota; Bacilli; Caryophanales; Staphylococcaceae. The record is from RNAcentral.
UUCCAAUCGAACCUGGAGAUAGCUGGUUCUCUCCGAAAUAGCUUUAGGGCUAGCCUCAAGUGAUGAUUAUUGGAGGUAGAGCACUGUUUGGACGAGGGGCCCCUCUCGGGUUACCGAAUUCAGACAAACUCCGAAUGCCAAUUAAUUUAACUUGGGAGUCAGAACAUGGGUGAUAAGGUCCGUGUUCGAAAGGGAAACAGCCCAGACCACCAGCUAAGGUCCCAAAAUAUAUGUUAAGUGGAAAAGGAUGUGGCGUUGCCCAGACAACUAGGAUGUUGGCUUAGAAGCAGCCAUCAUUUAAAGAGUGCGUAAUAGCUCACUAGUCGAGUGACACUGCGCCGAAAAUGUACCGGGGCUAAACAUAUUACCGAAGCUGUGGAUUGUCCUUUGGACAAUGGUAGGAGAGCGUUCUAAGGGCGUUGAAGCAUGAUCGUAAGGACAUGUGGAGCGCUUAGAAGUGAGAAUGCCGGUGUGAGUAGCGAAAGACGGGUGAGAAUCCCGUCCACCGAUUGACUAAGGUUUCCAGAGGAAGGCUCGUCCGCUCUGGGUUAGUCGGGUCCUAAGCUGAGGCCGACAGGCGUAGGCGAUGGAUAACAGGUUGAUAUUCCUGUACCACCUAUAAUCGUUUUAAUCGAUGGGGGGACGCAGUAGGAUAGGCGAAGCGUGCGAUUGGAUUGCACGUCUAAGCAGUAAGGCUGAGUAUUAGGCAAAUCCGGUACUCAUUAAGGCUGAGCUGUGAUGGGGAGAAGACAUUGUGUCUUCGAGUCGUUGAUUUCACACUGCCGAGAAAAGCCUCUAGAUAGAAAAUAGGUGCCCGUACCGCAAACCGACACAGGUAGUCAAGAUGAGAAUUCUAAGGUGAGCGAGCGAACUCUCGUUAAGGAACUCGGCAAAAUGACCCCGUAACUUCGGGAGAAGGGGUGCUCUUUAGGGUUAACGCCCAGAAGAGCCGCAGUGAAUAGGCCCAAGCGACUGUUUAUCAAAAACACAGGUCUCUGCUAAACCGUAAGGUGAUGUAUAGGGGCUGACGCCUGCCCGGUGCUGGAAGGUUAAGAGGAGUGGUUAGCUUCUGCGAAGCUACGAAUCGAAGCCCCAGUAAACGGCGGCCGUAACUAUAACGGUCCUAAGGUAGCGAAAUUCCUUGUCGGGUAAGUUCCGACCCGCACGAAAGGCGUAACGAUUUGGGCACUGUCUCAACGAGAGACUCGGUGAAAUCAUAGUACCUGUGAAGAUGCAGGUUACCCGCGACAGGACGGAAAGACCCCGUGGAGCUUUA